This 312-nucleotide ribosomal RNA is filed under the name uncultured bacterium. Its description in RNAcentral is "bacterial SSU rRNA". It matches the Rfam family "Bacterial small subunit ribosomal RNA", at positions 28 to 321 of the family's 1533-position model. The record is from RNAcentral.
GACGAACGCUGGCGGCGUGCCUAACACAUGCAAGUCGAGCGGGGACUUAUGGAAUGAAGCUUCGGCAGAAUGAAGUAAGUUCUAGCGGCGGACGGGUGAGUAACGCGUGAGUAACCUGCCUAUCACUGGGGAAUAACGCACCGAAAGGUGUGCUAAUACCGCAUGAGACCACAGAGGGGACAUCCCACAGGGGUCAAAGAUUCAUCGGUGAUAGAUGGGCUCGCGUCUGAUUAGCUGGUUGGUGAGGUAACGGCCCACCAAGGCGACGAUCAGUAGCCGACCUGAGAGGGUGAUCGGCCACGAUUGGAACUG